Molecule: ribosomal RNA, 254 nt
Filed under: uncultured bacterium
Lineage: Bacteria
Description: partial 16S ribosomal RNA
Rfam family: Bacterial small subunit ribosomal RNA
Source: RNAcentral
UACGUAGGGUGCAAGCGUUGUCCGGAAUUAUUGGGCGUAAAGAGCUCGUAGGCGGUUUGUCGCGUCUGCUGUGAAAACGCGAGGCUCAACCUCGCGCCUGCAGUGGGUACGGGCAGACUAGAGUGCGGUAGGGGAGAUUGGAAUUCCUGGUGUAGCGGUGAAAUGCGCAGAUAUCAGGAGGAACACCGGUGGCGAAGGCGGGUCUCUGGGCCGUAACUGACGCUGAGGAGCGAAAGCGUGGGGGAGCGAACAGG